This 253-nucleotide ribosomal RNA is filed under the name uncultured bacterium. RNAcentral's name for it is "partial 16S ribosomal RNA". It matches the Rfam family "Bacterial small subunit ribosomal RNA", at positions 524 to 776 of the family's 1533-position model. The record is from RNAcentral.
UACGGAGGGUGCAAGCGUUGCUCGGGAUCACUGGGCGUAAAGGGCGUGUAGGCGGUUUCGUAUGUCUGGCGUGAAAGCCCCGGGCUCAACCCGGGAAGUGCGUUGGAAACUGCGAAACUAGAGUCUCGGAGAGGAAGGUGGAAUUCCAGGUGUAGCGGUGAAAUGCGUAGAUAUCUGGAAGAACACCGGUGGCGAAGGCGGCCUUCUGGACGAUGACUGACGCUGAGACGCGAAAGCCAGGGGAGCAAACGGG